RNAcentral lists this ribosomal RNA (636 nucleotides) under Triticum aestivum (bread wheat). Its description in RNAcentral is "partial small subunit ribosomal RNA". The record is from RNAcentral. Lineage: Eukaryota; Viridiplantae; Streptophyta; Magnoliopsida; Poales; Poaceae.
AUGGCGAAGCUUAGGCCGUCCGGUUUCGUCCCCACUUCUCCCCCCUUUUCUUGCUGUAAUAAAUCCCAAUAUGGUGCGCCAGGUGCUCUUCUUCCUCGAUCUGUUCUUACCACCAUGGUUGUGGGAAGAGAGAUAGAGCAGCAGGAGAUGUACAUGCCUACCACUUGCAGGAGGCCUCGUUGCUACCUUCCUCCACUUGAUGCUGCCAAGGUGGUGGAUGAAGAGGGGUGGGGAAGCACUGAGCUGAAGAUUGAUGGUCGGGUUCGAGCUCAUCAGCAGAGGAUUCUAUGGUGGAGCUACGGCGCCUGCAGUCGGCUGCCGGUCUUCAUCGACCCUCUGCUUCUUCUGGUCGAAGGGCGGCCAACCCCUUUCCUCCUGGCUUGCAUGCCUUAUGGGAGGCAGUUCCAGUUUUCGUUCAGAGGCUCUGGGAUGCACGUGCUGCACCCAUGGCGAUCUCGUCGCCCCAAGUGGUUCGUCCCCGGCGACGGCGAGGUUCAAUCUGAGCGAAGGCUGCCAAGGACCCGAUUGCGUUUUAAUCUUUCAGUUAGGGGUUCUCCAUGCAAAAGUCUGGGACUUUGUUGUAAUCUUUCUUUUUCUUUCGGUCCUGAUGUAAAGUGUGCUUUGAAGCUUAUCUAA